UGGGGAAUCUUGCGCAAUGGGGGGAACCCUGACGCAGCGACGCCGCGUGCGGGAUGGAGGCCUUCGGGUCGUAAACCGCUUUCAGCAGGGAUGAGACAAGACGGUACCUGCAGAAGAAGCCCGGCUAACUACGUGCC
RNAcentral lists this ribosomal RNA (137 nucleotides) under uncultured bacterium. RNAcentral describes it as "partial 16S ribosomal RNA". It matches the Rfam family "Bacterial small subunit ribosomal RNA", at positions 355 to 509 of the family's 1533-position model. The record is from RNAcentral.